Long non-coding RNA from Melospiza melodia melodia, 565 nucleotides. RefSeq lists it as uncharacterized. The record is from RefSeq and is a predicted model, not a curated record. The transcript is spliced from 2 exons. NCBI's taxonomy places the organism in Eukaryota, Metazoa, Chordata, Aves, Passeriformes, Passerellidae.
AAGAGUACUUUAAAAAAGUGCCACUUGGUUUUUUUGGGAGAUAAAAGAACAGGGUCUUUCAUUCUUAGCUGCUUUCAUGCAUGUAAGGCAGAAAUGAGAGCAGAGGCUGGGAGUUGGAUUCAAAAUGAAAUUUCUGCCCCCAUUUGGGAGAAAAAGCCGUGCAGUUGGGUGCCUUGGGCAGCUCUGCUUGGAUCAAGCAUAGAUGUGAAUAUCUGAGGGCAGAAUUUCCCCUGUUGAUUUUUAUAGAUUUACUGCAGUAUCCCCUUUGCUGUUGCAGAGGGCAGAAAUCAUUCCUGUUCUCAUAGUCCAGGAGCAGGCUCAACGUGCAGAUCCCAAGGGCAUCAGAUCCUUAGCUGGUAUUAGAGAGCAGAUAGUGUUCAUGAUGCAUGGAAAAUUCUGUGGCUUCAAAAUCUAUGCCAGGUUUACAAAGUCUAUGUAUGUCAACAGAUGUUAAGAAUAUAAACACAACUUUUAUUAUAAAGUUGUGCAAAUGUGUAGACAUGAGCUUGGUUUAUGUAUAUUAUUUUCAGCAUGAGAAUGAAAUGAAACUUCUGUGAAACAAGAA